This 472-nucleotide ribosomal RNA is filed under the name uncultured bacterium. RNAcentral's name for it is "partial 16S ribosomal RNA". It matches the Rfam family "Bacterial small subunit ribosomal RNA", at positions 28 to 507 of the family's 1533-position model. The record is from RNAcentral.
GACGAACGCUGGCGGCGUGCUUAACACAUGCAAGUCGAACGCUGAAGCUUGGUGCUUGCACUGGGUGGAUGAGUGGCGAACGGGUGAGUAAUACGUGAGUAACCUGCCCUUGACUCUGGGAUAAGCCUGGGAAACUGGGUCUAAUACUGGAUACGACAUGUCACCGCAUGGUGGUGUGUGGAAAGGGUUUUACUGGUUUUGGAUGGGCUCACGGCCUAUCAGCUUGUUGGUGGGGUAAUGGCUCACCAAGGCGACGACGGGUAGCCGGCCUGAGAGGGUGACCGGCCACACUGGGACUGAGACACGGCCCAGACUCCUACGGGAGGCAGCAGCGGGGAAUAUUGCACAAUGGGCGGAAGCCUGAUGCAGCGACGCCGCGUGAGGGAUGACGGCCUUCGGGUUGUAAACCUCUUUCAGCACGGAAGAAGCGAAAGUGACGGUACGUGCAGAAGAAGCGCCGGCUAACUACGUG